UGAUCAUGACAUUAAAAAUAACUAAAAAAAUUAUUGAGAAUUUUUUGUUUAUCUCUAACAGAAAAACGAGAAAAACAGCCAGAGACAAAAAACGCAUGGGCAUGGCUUGCUUAUCCUGCCACUCCAUGACCAAAACACUUUUGAGUGUUUGCUUUUCUUCCCACCAAUACCAACUCUCCAUCUCCACCAUCCAACACUGAUCCGAAGCCUCUUCCAGUUCCAGUUCCAGUUCCCACAACAACAGCAAGUACCAGAACCAAAAACACCACUACUCUACCGUUACCGAGAAAGAAAACAAAUCCAAAACAGACGAUAACAACAGCUCAACCUUAAGAACAUUGAAAGCGUCGCUGGUGCUGGCAGUUAUCGUGACUAUGAGAAGCCCAUUGACCAAGAGAAGAAAAGGAAGAAGUCUGAGUUCUUGGAGCAGGGAACAGUGGGAAGAAGCUCAGAGAGACUGGAGAGUGGGUUACCACCAAAACUGAUGGAGGAUUUCGUUCCAACGAUACAAGAACUUUAAUGCUCUCUUUUCAGUGGGCCAUACCAAUUUCUUGAUGAUCUGCUCAUGUCAAAUUAUUAGUUGAAAUAAUAAUGUUUCGCUAUAUUAGUUCGAGAGUGUUACCGAACUGUACACAAAUCUUCCAGCUUGUUGGGUGACACCCUUCGUCCCAGUAUGGAUAUCAAUUCGAAGGGCCAAAAAAGCUUCACUGCAGGUAAGCAGGUGGAUUAAGCAAUUAAAAUUCCACGAUGUAAAGUUGCAUAAUUUACAGAAGAAACCAAGAUACAUCUCCUGCUUGGUCUUAAUUUAUCAUGUAAUUCUUAUCAUCAAAAUAUGUAAGAUAUAAGUUGCAACAUCUAUGUAGUAACAUCUACUGAGACAGCAACAUCUGUUUACCAGAAGUAACAGUAUUGGCUCUCCUUAGGGACAAGAUGCUUACCUGGGGAAGAAUUGCUAGCCCGGCUUGGAUCUAGCACAUUAAGAAGGGUGUGAUGGCUAAUGGGAGCCUUACAUAGGAUUCCGAGAACUCCUUUGUAUUAUAUACGUGGCUAAACUUGAUCAUGAACGUGAUUCUUGUUGCUUCCGAGAUCACUGUCCCCGGACACGAAAAAAGAUGUCAUGAUUAGCGCUUGAGUGUUGAGGCAUUAUCAUUGUCAUUAUUGAUUUUGUUUCUGAAGAAAACAUUAUUAAGAAAAGAAACCUGGUUAACAUGAAAUUGAUUAUUUAGUGAUUAGAAAAACGUUGGGUUGCAUCUUGCUUGUUCAAGCC
Long non-coding RNA from Populus euphratica (Euphrates poplar), 1267 nucleotides. RefSeq lists it as uncharacterized. The record is from RefSeq and is a predicted model, not a curated record. The transcript is spliced from 3 exons. NCBI's taxonomy places the organism in Eukaryota, Viridiplantae, Streptophyta, Magnoliopsida, Malpighiales, Salicaceae.